Molecule: ribosomal RNA, 532 nt
Filed under: uncultured bacterium
Lineage: Bacteria
Description: bacterial SSU rRNA
Rfam family: Bacterial small subunit ribosomal RNA
Source: RNAcentral
AAUAGAUACCCGGGUAGUCCACGCUGUAAACGAUGAGUGCUAAGUGUUAGAGGGUUUCCGCCCUUUAGUGCUGCAGCUAACGCAUUAAGCACUCCGCCUGGGGAGUACGACCGCAAGGUUGAAACUCAAAGGAAUUGACGGGGGCCCGCACAAGCGGUGGAGCAUGUGGUUUAAUUCGAAGCAACGCGAAGAACCUUACCAGGUCUUGACAUCCUCUGACCUCCCUAGAGAUAGGGCCUUCCCCUUCGGGGGACAGAGUGACAGGUGGUGCAUGGUUGUCGUCAGCUCGUGUCGUGAGAUGUUGGGUUAAGUCCCGCAACGAGCGCAACCCUUGACCUUAGUUGCCAGCAUUCAGUUGGGCACUCUAAGGUGACUGCCGGUGACAAACCGGAGGAAGGUGGGGAUGACGUCAAAUCAUCAUGCCCCUUAUGACCUGGGCUACACACGUGCUACAAUGGAUGGUACAAAGGGCUGCGAGACCGCGAGGUUAAGCCAAUCCCAUAAAACCAUUCUCAGUUCGGAUUGCAGGCUG